RNAcentral lists this ribosomal RNA (511 nucleotides) under uncultured Verrucomicrobiales bacterium. RNAcentral's name for it is "bacterial SSU rRNA". It matches the Rfam family "Bacterial small subunit ribosomal RNA", at positions 8 to 493 of the family's 1533-position model. The record is from RNAcentral. Lineage: Bacteria; Pseudomonadati; Verrucomicrobiota; Verrucomicrobiia; Verrucomicrobiales.
AGAGUUUGAUCCUGGCUCAGAACGAACGCUGGCGGCGUGGAUAAGACAUGCAAGUGGAACGCUGGUGCUUAAGUAGCAAUAUUUAAGCGUUGGAGUCGCGUAAGGGUGCGUAACACGUGGGUAAUUUGCCGCGAAGACCGGAAUAACUUGCUGAAAGGCGAGCUAAUACCGGAUAUGAUUUCUGAGAGGCAUCUUUUGGAAAUCAAAGCUGGGGACCGCAAGGCCUGGCGCUUCGCGAUAAGCCCGCGGCCUAUCAGCUAGUUGGUGAGGUUAUGGCUCACCAAGGCGAAGACGGGUAGCUGGUCUGAGAGGACGACCAGCCACACUGGAACUGAGACACGGUCCAGACACCUACGGGUGGCAGCAGUCGAGAAUUUUUCACAAUGGGCGAAAGCCUGAUGGAGCGACGCCGCGUGGGGGAUGAAUGGCUUCGGCCCGUAAACCCCUGUCAUUUGCGAACAAACCUUGUCCGAUAACACCGGACAGGCUGAUUGUAGCGAAAGAGAAGGAC